This 497-nucleotide ribosomal RNA is filed under the name uncultured bacterium. Its description in RNAcentral is "partial 16S ribosomal RNA". It matches the Rfam family "Bacterial small subunit ribosomal RNA", at positions 28 to 507 of the family's 1533-position model. The record is from RNAcentral.
GAUGAACGCUGGCGGCGUGCCUAAUACAUGCAAGUCGAGCGAACAGAUGAGGAGCUUUCUCCUCUGACGUUAUCGGCGGACGGGAGAGUAACACGUGGAUAACCUACCUCUAAGACUGGGAUAACUUCGGGAAACAGGAGCUAAUACCGGAUAAUAUAUUGCACCGCAUUGUUCAAUAGUGAAAGUAGGUUUUGCUGUCACUUAUAGAUGGAUCCGCGCCGCAUUCGCUAGUUGGUUAGGUAACGGCUUAACCAGGCAACGAUGGGAAGCCGACCUGAACGGGAGAAUGCACAGACGGGCACAGAGACACGUCACAGACUCUUGCGGGAAGAAACAGUAGGGACUCUUCCGGGAGGGGGGAAAGCCUGACGGAGCAACACGGGCGGAGUGAUGAAGGUCUUAGGAUCGGAGAAUGCUGUUAGUAGUGAAGAACAAAUGCUUAAGUAACUAUGCACAUAUUGACAGUACCUAAUGAGAAAGCCACGGCUAACUCCGUG